CUCCGAAUGGUGAUUGCGUUUUGC
RNAcentral lists this non-coding RNA (24 nucleotides) under Arabidopsis thaliana (thale cress). The record is from RNAcentral. Lineage: Eukaryota; Viridiplantae; Streptophyta; Magnoliopsida; Brassicales; Brassicaceae.